RNAcentral lists this ribosomal RNA (547 nucleotides) under Hortaea werneckii. RNAcentral describes it as "eukaryotic LSU rRNA". The stretch from base 182 to 335 matches the Rfam family "5.8S ribosomal RNA". Lineage: Eukaryota; Fungi; Ascomycota; Dothideomycetes; Mycosphaerellales; Teratosphaeriaceae. The record is from RNAcentral.
UCCGUAGGUGAACCUGCGGAGGGAUCAUUACUGAGUGUGGGCUCCGGCCCUACCUCCAACCCCAUGUCGAAACGACUCUGUUGCCUCGGGGGCGACCCGGCCUUCGGGCGUCGGGGCCCCCGGUGGACACCUUCAUAACUCUUGCAUCUCUUGCGUCUGAGUGAUACAUAUAAUCAAUCAAAACUUUCAACAACGGAUCUCUUGGUUCUGGCAUCGAUGAAGAACGCAGCGAAAUGCGAUAAGUAAUGUGAAUUGCAGAAUUCAGUGAAUCAUCGAAUCUUUGAACGCACAUUGCGCCCCCUGGCAUUCCGGGGGGCAUGCCUGUUCGAGCGUCAUUACACCACUCAAGCCUGGCUUGGUAUUGAGCGCCGCGGCCUGCCCGCGCGCUCCAAUGUCUCCGGCUGAGCCGUCCGUCUCUAAGCGUUGUGAAUAGCGAUCGCUUGCGAGGCCCGGGCGGUUCGACGCCGUUAAACCCCCCAUUUUCUAUGGUUGACCUCGGAUCAGGUAGGGAUACCCGCUGAACUUAAGCAUAUCAAUAAGCGGAGGA